UUAAGUUGGGCACUCUAAGUUGACUGCCGGUGACAAACCGGAGGAAGGUGGGGAUGACGUCAAAUCAUCAUGCCCCUUAUGAUUUGGGCUACACACGUGCUACAAUGGACAAUACAAAGGGUAGCGAAACCGCGAGGUCAAGCAAAUCCCAUAAAGUUGUUCUCAGUUCGGAUUGUAGUCUGCAACUCGACUAUAUGAAGCUGGAAUCGCUAGUAAUCGUAGAUCAGCAUGCUACGGUGAAUACGUUCCCGGGUCUUGUACG
RNAcentral lists this ribosomal RNA (262 nucleotides) under Staphylococcus epidermidis. RNAcentral describes it as "partial 16S ribosomal RNA". It matches the Rfam family "Bacterial small subunit ribosomal RNA", at positions 1126 to 1387 of the family's 1533-position model. Lineage: Bacteria; Bacillati; Bacillota; Bacilli; Caryophanales; Staphylococcaceae. The record is from RNAcentral.